Fusarium fujikuroi IMI 58289 is the source of this 72-nucleotide transfer RNA. It matches the Rfam family "tRNA". From Rfam's summary of the family: Transfer RNA (tRNA) molecules are approximately 80 nucleotides in length. Their secondary structure includes four short double-helical elements and three loops (D, anti-codon, and T loops). The record is from Rfam. NCBI's taxonomy places the organism in Eukaryota, Fungi, Ascomycota, Sordariomycetes, Hypocreales, Nectriaceae.
AGCAGUUUGGCGCAGUGGAAGCGCGCCGGGCUCAUAACCCGGAGGUCACUGGAUCGAAACCAGUAACUGCUA